Molecule: unclassified non-coding RNA, 279 nt
Filed under: plant metagenome
Description: partial contains small subunit ribosomal RNA, internal transcribed spacer 1, and 5.8S ribosomal RNA
Source: RNAcentral
UUUCCGUAGGUGAACCUGCGGAAGGAUCAUUAUUGAAUAACCGAGGUGCGAGGGCUGUUGCUAACCCGAUAGGUCGUGUACGCUCGAGUGCCCUCACACACACAUAUCUCAAUCAUCUGUGUAUAACCGAGUGGAACCAACCUUGCCAUGUCCGGUGGCGGGCUUACCUUUUCAAACAAACAUUGAACGCAGCGUAGAAUGUAUCUUCUGUACUUGCGACAACGAAACCCAUAAAACUUUCAAUAACGGACCUUCUGGCUCUCGCAUCGAUGAUGAACG